CAGCAUUUAAAACAAAGGUGGUAUGAGAAGCAGGUGAACUUUGAAUAACAGAGCAGAAACUUCAGGUGUGGAAGGACAAUGACAGAUGGCGAGGAAGCGACAUGAACUCAGUGCUUUGGAGCCAAUGUGGGGUGUGUCUUCUCUGCAGGAACAGGGCCUGCUCCUCAACACUGGGGACAUUGGCUGCCUUGUCACCACUAUGCCCCUCACACCUACAAGAGGGCUGGGCCACCACACAUGAUCAAUAACCAUCUGUUAAGUCUGGAAACAGAGGACUGAAUGUCCAUCUCCCAAAGUGGCUGGCUGAUAAAGUCAAGCGUGAUGGCCUCCACUGGAAUGGCAAGUGUGUCCCGGAGUUCCCAGCUCUCAGCAGCCUCAAUAUGCUCUGAGGUCAUUUGAGGGAGAACACCAAGCCAGCCAUGGAGGAUCCCCAGCACCCCAUUCCUGGAAAGGACCAGAGCAACUCUCCAGCCUGCAACACUGCCACAUCCCGGCUCAGAGCCACACUGUGGAAUGGUUAGGGGUUAGGAGGAAGGUCGGUGUCUCUGCAUCUUAAUUUUAUUUUAGUAGCAUUGGAACAGGGAGACCACUUUGCUCAACCCACGCAGUGGGUUGCAUAUGCUUUAUUUUAAAGCAUUGCUGCAUUUAAAUAUAAGCCACACAGCUCCCAGGAGCAAUUUCACUUAGCUAGUAAAACAGGCAUGAGGUUAGCAGAAGGGCCUGGUCCCUGGGGUCUGCAGGAAACCUUCGAGAAGCAGGAUGUCAUCCUGGUGUCAGUGGCUAAUCCGAUGCCUGGGCAGCUGGGUUGGAUUCUUGAUGGUAAAUGGGGACUUUUCCAAGAUUUUUGCAGCUCCCACAAUGCUUUGCAUGAGCUUGAGGCUUUUAACUGUUCCCCUCCCCUGUAAAUGACAUCUCAGAGUCCUGUGGCUACCUCGACCCGAGUGCUGACAAAUGGAAAUGGCUGUGGUGGCAUUGUGAAGGCAGAAGGGUGGCCCAGUGUGCAGCUCCCAUCCUCUUCUCACCUCUAAGGGGACCAAGGCACAGAAAUGCAAAGGAACCCGGUCAUAAAUUCAUUCACCCAGUAAGCUAAGCUAUCUCCCCUACUCUGUUCCUGAAAGAGCUUUUAACAGAAAAAAAUGAACAAGACAAAGUUCUUGGGUGGCAAAAUCUCCCCUUAGGGUCCCUUUUCCAUCCCAAUCCCCAAGCUCAUGACAGCAGCUAUCCAGGCUUUGUUUGGAUUUUUGCAGUCAAACCCAAUUUGUGACUGUGAGAUGAAAGGCUCUAAGAUUUACAG
RNAcentral lists this long non-coding RNA (1294 nucleotides) under Marmota monax (woodchuck). The record is from RNAcentral. Lineage: Eukaryota; Metazoa; Chordata; Mammalia; Rodentia; Sciuridae.